Cyprinodon tularosa is the source of this 737-nucleotide long non-coding RNA. RefSeq lists it as uncharacterized. The record is from RefSeq and is a predicted model, not a curated record. The transcript is spliced from 4 exons. Lineage: Eukaryota; Metazoa; Chordata; Actinopteri; Cyprinodontiformes; Cyprinodontidae.
GAAAGCUUUUGCCAAAGGGGAGGUGACAAUGAACGUAUAUUUUAUAACAUUUUGUGAGGUGUCCUUUCUUUCAUUUUAGUCAAUCAUCACCUGUACAGCAGCUCUUCAUCUAGUAUAAGAAGCUACUUAAGAGCAGUAAUGACACCGGUUGCCUCAUUCAGAAACAGAGGAGUAAUGUCUCUCAGAAAAUAUAAAGACUUUGUCGUCAUUAUUACUCUGCUCUGUCUGUUCAGCCCUGUGAGUUCACGGAUAGGCAAGCAAGAACUGAAAAAUAUAAAUAAAAACUUACAGGAGCUACAACAAGAUGCAGCAAUGAGAAAGCUUGAAAACAAAGUGGACAUGGCGUUACUUCUGCUGAUGCUUGAAGAACUUACAAAUGGUGUAGACAUUAUGGCUGAGAUGAUAAAGUAAUUUCCCGAUCUUCUUGGGAACCUAAAAGACUUGAAGGUAUUCCUGGUGGAAAGCCAGUUUUUUUUGGAAAAAAAGUUUCAAGACGAAUCUCAAGAAAUCAAAGAUUAUGAGGACAUACUCAGACAUCUGGAGUAAUUUGUAACAAACUUAGCAGAGGAGCAUGCUGAACUGUGAAUUGCAUAUUGGUUUUAGGUGUAUUACAACUUGUAACAUACAAGCUUUUCCAAAAGCUUGUAUGUUCCUUAUUGUUAUUUUUUCACUUAGGAAUUAUAUUAUUGUUACUACCAAGGUAAAAGUGUCUAUCGACUCAAGUAUUUUAAAUUGAA